AUUGAACGCUGGCGGCAUGCUUUACACAUGCAAGUCGAACGGUAACAGGCCGCAAGGUGCUGACGAGUGGCGAACGGGUGAGUAAUGCAUCGGAACGUGCCCAGUCGUGGGGGAUAACUACUCGAAAGAGUAGCUAAUACCGCAUACGAUCUAUGGAUGAAAGCGGGGGACCGUAAGGCCUCGCGCGAUUGGAGCGGCCGAUGUCAGAUUAGGUAGUUGGUGGGGUAAAGGCUCACCAAGCCAACGAUCUGUAGCUGGUCUGAGAGGACAACCAGCCACACUGGGACUGAGACACGGCCCAGACUCCUACGGGAGGCAGCAGUGGGGAAUUUUGGACAAUGGGCGCAAGCCUGAUCCAGCAAUGCCGCGUGCAGGAAGAAGGCCUUCGGGUUGUAAACUGCUUUUGUACGGAACGAAACGGCUCUGGUUAAUACCCGGGGCUAAUGACGGUACCGUAAGAAUAAGCACCGGCUAACUACGU
Molecule: ribosomal RNA, 481 nt
Filed under: uncultured bacterium
Lineage: Bacteria
Description: partial 16S ribosomal RNA
Rfam family: Bacterial small subunit ribosomal RNA
Source: RNAcentral